Small nucleolar RNA from Rana temporaria (common frog), 73 nucleotides. RefSeq annotates it as small nucleolar RNA SNORD20. The transcript has a single exon. The record is from RefSeq and is a predicted model, not a curated record. Lineage: Eukaryota; Metazoa; Chordata; Amphibia; Anura; Ranidae.
UGGAAAUGAUGAUGACUGUGUCUGAUUACCCUUGAUGAAAAAAUGUUCUCUAGAUAGUCAAGUACUGAUCCAG